UACGAAGGGGGCUAGCGUUGCUCGGAAUCACUGGGCGUAAAGGGUGCGUAGGCGGGGCUUUAAGGCAGGGGGGAAAUCCCGGAGCUCAACUCCGGAACUGCCUUUGAUACUGGCAAUCUUGAGGCUGGAAGAGGUUAGUGGAAUUCCCAGUGUAGAGGUGAAAUUCGUAGAUAUUGGGAAGAACACCAGUGGCGAAGGCGGCUAACUGGUCCAGAUCUGACGCUGAGGUGCGAAAGCGUGGGGAGCAAACAGG
Molecule: ribosomal RNA, 253 nt
Filed under: uncultured bacterium
Lineage: Bacteria
Description: partial 16S ribosomal RNA
Rfam family: Bacterial small subunit ribosomal RNA
Source: RNAcentral